This 403-nucleotide ribosomal RNA is filed under the name uncultured bacterium. RNAcentral describes it as "partial 16S ribosomal RNA". It matches the Rfam family "Bacterial small subunit ribosomal RNA", at positions 28 to 526 of the family's 1533-position model. The record is from RNAcentral.
GACGAACGCUGGCGGCGUGCCUAAUACAUGCAAGUCGAACGCAGUGGGGACGGGUGAGUAACACGUGGGUAACCUCCCAUCAGAGGGGAUAACACUUGGAAACAGGUGCUAAACCGAUACUGAUGGAUGGACCCGCGGUGCAUUAGCUAGUUGGUGAGGUAACGGCUCACCAAGGCCACGAUGCAUAGACGACGUGAGAGGGUGAUCUGCAACACUGGGACUUAGCCGCGGCCCAGGCUCCGACGGGAGGCAGCAGUAGGGAAUCUUCGGCAAUGGACGAAAGUCUGGCCGAGCAACGCCGCGUGAGUUAAGAAGGUUUUCGGAUCGUAAAACUCUGUUGUUAGAGAAGCGGUAUCUAACAAGAAAGCGACGGCUAACUACGUGCCAGCAGCCGCGGUAAUAC